GUUAAAAAUGAAAAUAAAGCACGAUUCUUCUGGUGUGAACUGUUGAAGACAUGCUAUGUCAAAAGAUUACUUGUGACGACGACUCUUCCAUGCAAGUUAAUAGGGACGUAGCUUUCGCCCGAAAGGUGGAAUUGAACCACUCUGCCGCUAAGCAGCUACAGGUUUGAAGCCUGCACCCCGGACCACCGAGGCUCAUCCGGGCAUUUGAAUCAUGGGGAACAGGACCAAUAUAUAGCUCCCACCAGGCGAGACUCUUCUAAGUCAGGGUUUCACUUCAAUGCCCACCCCGUGAUUGGUUUCAGGUGGUUCCUCCUUUAACGGAGAGCAGCACAUACUCCCAGCGCAGGCCUUUCCACAGGUGAGGCUGCAGAUCAGAGGAGGAGGCACCGAGGGG
Molecule: long non-coding RNA, 394 nt
Organism: Epinephelus lanceolatus (giant grouper)
Lineage: Eukaryota; Metazoa; Chordata; Actinopteri; Perciformes; Serranidae
Source: RefSeq, a predicted model, not a curated record